CCUACGGGAGGCAGCAGUGGGGAAUAUUGCACAAUGGGCGAAAGCCUGAUGCAGCAACGCCGCGUGAGCGAUGAAGGCCUUCGGGUCGUAAAGCUCUGUCCUCAAGGAGGAUAAUGACGGUACUUGAGGAGCCAGCCUCGGCUAACUACGUCCCAGCAGCCGCGGUAAUACGUAGGGGGCUAGCGUUAUCCGGUAUUACUGGGCGUAAAGGGUGCGUAGGCGGUAUGACAAGUCAAGGGUGAAAUCCCCGCGCUCAACGUGGGAACUGCCUUUGAAACUGGCGAACUGGAGUGUGUGAGAGGAUAGUGGAAUUCCAGGUGUAGGAGUGGAAUCCGUAGAUAUCUGGAGGAACAUCAGUGGCGAAGGCGACUAUCUGGCACAUAACUGACGCUGAGGAGCGAAAGCGUGGGUAGCGAACAGGAUUAGAUACCCUUGUAGUC
RNAcentral lists this ribosomal RNA (440 nucleotides) under uncultured bacterium. Its description in RNAcentral is "partial 16S ribosomal RNA". It matches the Rfam family "Bacterial small subunit ribosomal RNA", at positions 338 to 795 of the family's 1533-position model. The record is from RNAcentral.